Molecule: ribosomal RNA, 497 nt
Filed under: uncultured bacterium
Lineage: Bacteria
Description: partial 16S ribosomal RNA
Rfam family: Bacterial small subunit ribosomal RNA
Source: RNAcentral
GAUGAACGCUGGCGGCGUGCCUAAUACAUGCAAGUCGAGCGAACAGACGAGGAGCUUGCUCCUUCGACGUUAGCGGCGGACGGGUGAGUAACACGUAUGUAACCUACCUAUAAGACUGGGAUAACUUCGGGAAACCGGAUCUAAUACCGGAGAAUAUUUCGAACCGCAGGGUUCGAUAGUGAAAGAUGGCUGUGCUAUCACUUAUAGAUGGACCUGCGCCGGAUUAGCUAGUUGGUAAGGUAACGGCUUACCAAGGCGACGAUUCGUAGCCGACCUGAGAGGGUGGUCGGCCACACUGGAACUGAGCCGCGGUCCAGGCUCCUACGGGAGGCCGCAGUCGGGUAUCGUCCGCAACGGGCGAAAACCUGACGGAGCGAGGCCGAGUGAGUGAUGAAGGUGUUCGGUUCGUAAAGCUCUGUUAUUAGUGAAGAACAACCGUGUAAGUAGCUGUGCACGUCUUGACGGUACCUAAUCAGAAAGCCCCGGCUAACUACGUG